GUGAAAAUGUCCCUAAAUGCAGGCAUACUACUAUAUCCCUGAUGAACGCUGAUUAAGUUUUGAGUCACAUUCUCUUGAUGAAUAAGCUACUCCACUAGUCUUUUCCUUCAGCAACCUGAUGUGCGGAGUUGACCCCUUCCAACUUCCUUCUCGAAGCUGAGAAAACCGCAGGACCCUAAGCAACUCAAAACCUGAAGAAGACUGAAGAAAGCUAAAGUUCUCCUGUUCUCACAAAUUCUACCCUGCCUUGCCCUGAAUGAGGGACAUUUCCAUCAAUAAGAAGAGAGGCCUAUACCAUUGAGCUUUGGGACUAGGGUUACAUUCCUCCCUUGGGCCAAAACUCUUUGUAGUCCCUUGCAAAGAUCAGCUGGAGCAAGCCUAAAACCUGUGAUUUUUCCACAAUCGAAAUACAUCAAGGCAGAAGAUACUUCAAGAUCUGCUAAUACUACCUGCAUCAGAAUAACUUCUGUAAAAGGGGCCAUCAACUAAUUUUGGCUUUCAGGCCAGUCUAAGAGGUGUAGACAAGACAUAUUCAGAAGGUGACCAAUCAUCAAACUCAAGGUGGACAUGUCUGAGUUUGAAGACAAUCUUGUGAGUUAGAGAGCCAAAGGUCCUGGGUCACUGGAAAGAAGCUGACAAGCAGCAAAAACAACUUCAUCACUGGGGAGAAUGACAACCUACAAGAGGAAGACACCAAGGCCCUGCUCUGUUUGACCAGAAGACAUGGACUGGGAGUUGUGAGAACAGGGAAGAGCUGAGGUGAAUGUAAAAUGUAUUACCAACAGUCAGUGCUUUGGUACUCAUGGGUUUAAGCCUCAGCCUUCUUGUGCUGUCAAUGCAUGACAAGAGUCUUUCAUGUCUUCUAGCAUUUCUUUUCACUGUGGAAAACCUGUCCCAUAUUUGAUUUAAAUUAUAUGUUGAUUACCUUUCUACUCUGCUUUUUGGGGAGAUAUAGAUAUGAACCAAAACCUAAACUUUAAAUAAUUUGUCCCCAAAGUGCUGGGGCUGCAGUCUAAACAGGUGAAGAGUGUCAGAAAAGGACCCUCGUCCUCCUCUCAUUAGAGGCCAGUUGUCAUCAGGACUACAUGCCUGAAUGUGGAGCAGAUGGGAACCUUAGAGAAAGAGGUUAGGCAUAGAGCCAGCCCUUGAGUUCAGCAACCAUUUUUUUAAUGCUGCACUUAUAUAAUCUUUCCUGGGCCAGACCUUCCAGGAAUCUGAAGGCCUGGUUGUAGGUUAGAAUUUCUAUUGCUGACUAAAGCCACCAGCAAGAGUUUUUGGGACUCUAGCACUAAUAGAUCUCUUAGUAGGUAGGCAUCAUUCCCUCCAAUGAACAGAGCUUUUACAGAAAACAAAUUGCAAAUAAGAAAGGCUGGUUUUCCCUCUUGGAGUGAAUUACUUUAUGGGAGUAGGGAGGUAGGACUGAGAUGGCCAGAAAGGUGGUCUGCCUCACCCUAAAACCCAAUUUAGAGGGUUAAGGAAAGGGUAAGGAUAUGGGUCACAGGCUAGGGAUGCUGGAAAAAAAACCUCCAGAAGACUUGGGCUGCAGGAGUGGCCAUGAGGGAAAUAAGGAACAAGGGACUGGCCUUCUCUAUACCCUUGAUAAUACUAGUUCUACCUAUUCGACACAUACACUGGACUAUCCCUGGGCCAAGUGAGAAAUGGAAGUGGGAGUGGGCUUGGUGAGGCACCAAGAAGCCAAGAGGGAUAGGGACAGGAUUUGGAUUUAGAAAAUCCAAAGCCAAGGCAACAGCCAAGAGGCAAAGGAAGUUGUAGCAGCCACUAACCCAGCAUGUAGUAUCUCAUAGCACUCAGGGUAAAUAUGCAAGCUAAGCUCUAAUAACAAUCUCAAGUGUCACUUGGGAGAGAUAAUAUACUAAGCCAUUAACAAACAUUAACACUUUAUGAAAAAUGUAUUUUUCCAUUGGCAGAGAGCUGACUCUCCAGUUCAGCCUUCUUCCAUUCCAGGGGUUACCUGACUAAUCUUAAGUACCAUGUUCCUCCUGUCACAUACUUCACUGCUCAAAAACUUGUGACUGUUCUUUAUUGCCUGCCAAAUUAAAUACAGAUUUCUCACUUUUCCAGGAAAUCCAUAGUUUGGUCUCACCCAACCUAUUCAACCUAAUUCCUCCCUACUAAGCCUUGCUCUUAAUUGAAAAUGAUAUAAUUAAUGCCUUCCUUCCCUCUCUUUGCUCCUUUUGUUCUCCUUCCUGUUAUCUACUUUGGCUUUUCCUCCUCAAACCCUGUUCCUCCUUCAAGUCCUAAUAACCACUCCCUAAAUAUUCCAGCCUAUCUUGCUAUCUCUCCCUUCCCUGAGCUCCUGCAGUAUUGCAAGUCUGUACCUCACACUAUUCCCCAAUCGUUUUAUGUAGGAUAGUCUUAUUUUUCCCAAGUAAAUGUCAUAUGGUCCUUGAGUAAGAGAACUAUGUCUCGUAUCCCUGUCAUCUUCUCUAGCAAUGCUGAACAGUGCUCACGAAAUAGCGAGGUUCAGGUAAU
Molecule: non-coding RNA, 2493 nt
Organism: Phascolarctos cinereus (koala)
Lineage: Eukaryota; Metazoa; Chordata; Mammalia; Diprotodontia; Phascolarctidae
Source: RefSeq, a predicted model, not a curated record